UCUCCGUUGGUGAACCAGCGGAGGGAUCAUUAAAGAGUUACGCAACUCCCUAACCCCAUGUGAACCUUACCUGUUCGUUUUGCUUUCGGCAGGCAGCCCCAGGGCGGGGCUCGCGGCCUGGGUCUAUUCCCAGGUGUCUGCCGCAGGGCUCACUACAAACUCUUACUGUACCAUGCUGUCUGAGUUUUUAAAAAAACAAGUUAAAACUUUCAACAACGGAUCUCUUGGUUCUG
RNAcentral lists this unclassified non-coding RNA (233 nucleotides) under plant metagenome. RNAcentral describes it as "partial contains small subunit ribosomal RNA, internal transcribed spacer 1, and 5.8S ribosomal RNA". The record is from RNAcentral.